RNAcentral lists this ribosomal RNA (1735 nucleotides) under Staphylococcus aureus. Its description in RNAcentral is "bacterial LSU rRNA". It matches the Rfam family "Bacterial large subunit ribosomal RNA", at positions 1187 to 2925 of the family's 2925-position model. The record is from RNAcentral. Lineage: Bacteria; Bacillati; Bacillota; Bacilli; Caryophanales; Staphylococcaceae.
CAUAUUACCGAAGCUGUGGAUUGUCCUUUGGACAAUGGUAGGAGAGCGUUCUAAGGGCGUUGAAGCAUGAUCGUAAGGACAUGUGGAGCGCUUAGAAGUGAGAAUGCCGGUGUGAGUAGCGAAAGACGGGUGAGAAUCCCGUCCACCGAUUGACUAAGGUUUCCAGAGGAAGGCUCGUCCGCUCUGGGUUAGUCGGGUCCUAAGCUGAGGCCGACAGGCGUAGGCGAUGGAUAACAGGUUGAUAUUCCUGUACCACCUAUAAUCGUUUUAAUCGAUGGGGGGACGCAGUAGGAUAGGCGAAGCGUGCGAUUGGAUUGCACGUCUAAGCAGUAAGGCUGAGUAUUAGGCAAAUCCGGUACUCGUUAAGGCUGAGCUGUGAUGGGGAGAAGACAUUGUGUCUUCGAGUCGUUGAUUUCACACUGCCGAGAAAAGCCUCUAGAUAGAAAAUAGGUGCCCGUACCGCAAACCGACACAGGUAGUCAAGAUGAGAAUUCUAAGGUGAGCGAGCGAACUCUCGUUAAGGAACUCGGCAAAAUGACCCCGUAACUUCGGGAGAAGGGGUGCUCUUUAGGGUUAACGCCCAGAAGAGCCGCAGUGAAUAGGCCCAAGCGACUGUUUAUCAAAAACACAGGUCUCUGCUAAACCGUAAGGUGAUGUAUAGGGGCUGACGCCUGCCCGGUGCUGGAAGGUUAAGAGGAGUGGUUAGCUUCUGCGAAGCUACGAAUCGAAGCCCCAGUAAACGGCGGCCGUAACUAUAACGGUCCUAAGGUAGCGAAAUUCCUUGUCGGGUAAGUUCCGACCCGCACGAAAGGCGUAACGAUUUGGGCACUGUCUCAACGAGAGACUCGGUGAAAUCAUAGUACCUGUGAAGAUGCAGGUUACCCGCGACAGGACGGAAAGACCCCGUGGAGCUUUACUGUAGCCUGAUAUUGAAAUUCGGCACAGCUUGUACAGGAUAGGUAGGAGCCUUUGAAACGUGAGCGCUAGCUUACGUGGAGGCGCUGGUGGGAUACUACCCUAGCUGUGUUGGCUUUCUAACCCGCACCACUUAUCGUGGUGGGAGACAGUGUCAGGCGGGCAGUUUGACUGGGGCGGUCGCCUCCUAAAAGGUAACGGAGGCGCUCAAAGGUUCCCUCAGAAUGGUUGGAAAUCAUUCAUAGAGUGUAAAGGCAUAAGGGAGCUUGACUGCGAGACCUACAAGUCGAGCAGGGUCGAAAGACGGACUUAGUGAUCCGGUGGUUCCGCAUGGAAGGGCCAUCGCUCAACGGAUAAAAGCUACCCCGGGGAUAACAGGCUUAUCUCCCCCAAGAGUUCACAUCGACGGGGAGGUUUGGCACCUCGAUGUCGGCUCAUCGCAUCCUGGGGCUGUAGUCGGUCCCAAGGGUUGGGCUGUUCGCCCAUUAAAGCGGUACGCGAGCUGGGUUCAGAACGUCGUGAGACAGUUCGGUCCCUAUCCGUCGUGGGCGUAGGAAAUUUGAGAGGAGCUGUCCUUAGUACGAGAGGACCGGGAUGGACAUACCUCUGGUGUACCAGUUGUCGUGCCAACGGCAUAGCUGGGUAGCUAUGUGUGGACGGGAUAAGUGCUGAAAGCAUCUAAGCAUGAAGCCCCCCUCAAGAUGAGAUUUCCCAACUUCGGUUAUAAGAUCCCUCAAAGAUGAUGAGGUUAAUAGGUUCGAGGUGGAAGCAUGGUGACAUGUGGAGCUGACGAAUACUAAUCGAUCGAAGACUUAAUCAA